GACACCAUGUAAACCCCCCAUCUACCCUUACACAUAUCCAGAAGGAAAAAUAGGAGAUGCCAAAGCCGUCGGCCACCGAUGAGAGAGAGAGAGAGAGAGCGCGAUCGCGAAUGAACAACAUCGCGGGCGAAGUCCUCACGCAGUCCCCCAUACUCCAGCCAUAACAAUGACGGUCGACAACGAGUUCGUGUGAGGACCGCGCAACGGCUAGGGUUUCACGGGAUCAACAAGUAAUGAAGGUGGUAGCUACGAUUUUGAGACACGACGACAGCUUUGAGAAAGCACAUCGCCUUCCAGCUCUGCUCGUCGCUCUUUGGUUCCCGGGAAUGUAACGCACCGCACCGCACCGCAUCGCCAACGUCCAGUUUAUCUGUGAAUAUACUCGCAAAGGUUGAUGAACUAAUCAAGGACAAGACUGAAACGGAGAAGGGCAGGUUCUGGUGCAAAAGAGCAAAAACGAGUAAUAUGGGAAUGAUCAGCCAGUCGGGCAGAGUAGAAUGCCAGAGACCGAAUUAAAAUUGCCGCUAUUUUUCUUGAUUGGAUAAAGACGAAUAAGAGGAGGCUGCCAUAAAAAAAAGCAAUAUCAUCGAGCCGCACAUAAUUCACGUAGGAGGGCUCUAUGUCACACCCCAACCAAUGGCGGAAACAUCGGGAUGAGACGAAGUGUGAAGAUUGCUAGAGACAUCAUAACGCUAUUUGUGACAAUAUUUAGAAAAUCCAAAUUUCAUU
This 729-nucleotide long non-coding RNA is filed under the name Helianthus annuus (common sunflower). RNAcentral describes it as "hypothetical non coding rna". The record is from RNAcentral. Lineage: Eukaryota; Viridiplantae; Streptophyta; Magnoliopsida; Asterales; Asteraceae.